CAGAAAAUAGUUUAUUAAAAUAUUAAUUUUGGAGAUUAAAGAUAAAUUUAUUUUUUUUUCUGA
RNAcentral lists this transfer RNA (63 nucleotides) under Staphylinidae sp. 2 EF-2015. RNAcentral's name for it is "tRNA-Pro". Lineage: Eukaryota; Metazoa; Arthropoda; Insecta; Coleoptera; Staphylinidae. The record is from RNAcentral.